UACAUAUUCAUGCAUAUGAAUUCCACUCCUUAAUAUUUAGUAGUUGUCAAAGGUGCACCCAAGGCACCCUUGAGGCGAAGGCGCACGAGGCUCAAGGGAGAGUGGCCCAGGCAAGCAAAGCCCGGCGACCUCACCUAGGUGCAGUGAGGCACCAGGUGCACCUAGGUGAGGCCAGGCGAGGUGCAGCCUUUGUUGAGCGACAAGUGACUUAAAAGGAA
RNAcentral lists this unclassified non-coding RNA (218 nucleotides) under Hevea brasiliensis (rubber tree). Lineage: Eukaryota; Viridiplantae; Streptophyta; Magnoliopsida; Malpighiales; Euphorbiaceae. The record is from RNAcentral.